Molecule: long non-coding RNA, 434 nt
Filed under: Elaeis guineensis (African oil palm)
Lineage: Eukaryota; Viridiplantae; Streptophyta; Magnoliopsida; Arecales; Arecaceae
Description: long non-coding RNA (EGUI_LNC000682)
Source: RNAcentral
CUUUUCUUUUUCCCCAUUCUCUCUCGCUCUCCCCACUUUGCCAUCGCUUUCGGUCCUUCCCCCUGUCGCCGACGAUCGCCGGCGCCGACUUCUCCUCUCGUUUUUUCCUCACCGCUGCUCGAUCCCGUCUACGAUCGUUCGAUCCCGUCUCCGAUCCCUCUAAGGCUGUCCUUUCCGCUUCUCGAGCUCUUCCUCUUGCCGGCACCGGCGCUUUCUCGUCUCUCCGAGGUUUGAUCUCUUCUUCCCUUCGAUUUUUUUCUCUCUCAUGUCUAGUCUCACCCCUUGACCGGAACCCUAACCCUAAUUUACUUCUUUCUUGGUCGGCUGUCAUGACUACCCGAAGGUCUCCAACAACGACUCCCCGGCCUUCAGCGUCUGAGAAUUGAGGGGUGCCCCAACCUAGAGAGACAAUAUGCGAAAGGAGGCCGGUANNN